CCUACGGGAGGCAGCAGUGAGGAAUAUUGGUCAAUGGGCGCGAGCCUGAACCAGCCAAGUCGCGUGAGGGAUGAAGGCUCUAUGGGUCGUAAACCUCUUUUGUCGGGGAACAAAGUGUGGGACGUGUGCUGUUUUGAGUGUACCUGAAGAAAAAGCAUCGGCUAACUCCGUGCCAGCAGCCGCGGUAAUACGGAGGAUGCGAGCGUUAUCCGGAUUUAUUGGGUUUAAAGGGUGCGUAGGCGGCCCGGAAAGUCAGCGGUAAAAGUCCGGGGCUCAACCCCGGCGAGCCGGUGAAACUGGCGGACUUGAGUGGGCGAGAAGUACGCGGAAUGCGCGGUGUAGCGGUGAAAUGCAUAGAUAGCACGCAGAACUCCGAUUGCGAAGGCAGCGUACCGGCGCCGGACUGACGCUGAGGCACGAAAGCGUGGGUAUCGAACAGGAUUAGAUACCCGAGUAGUC
RNAcentral lists this ribosomal RNA (459 nucleotides) under uncultured bacterium. Its description in RNAcentral is "partial 16S ribosomal RNA". It matches the Rfam family "Bacterial small subunit ribosomal RNA", at positions 338 to 795 of the family's 1533-position model. The record is from RNAcentral.